CUUAUUAAUGGUAAUUGGUCAGUGGGAGAGUAAAGAAGAGAGAGAAAGAAGAAAGGAAAAAGAGGAAGAAGAAGAAGAAAGAAGAAGGGGAAUCGACAGUGGAGCUUCACCAUAGCUGGGUCUUGGUAUUUUGAGCCCGGAUUAAUGACUAGCUCAUCGCGAUCUUUGAUUUGAGGAUUUAGAAGGAGUGCUGGUGAAAAUCUAGAGUAUUUGAAAGUUCUUAAGCAAAAGAAGUGAAAUUUGGGGUUUUAUUGAUGUUCUUGAGAAAGAGGUUACACUCAUUAUACGUGUAUCCACACAUCGGAUCUCUUACAUGCUAGGUAUAAGCACCGAGUAUAUAUACAAGCAAGAGUAGCAGGUUGGAGAGGCCAACACUAGCUUGGCUGGCAGCAGUGGAAUGCUAGGAAGGGAAGGAUGACCCAACAUGUACCUGUACCUCCUGCCAACAGUGUUGGAAGAGUUAGCAAGCAAAGUGGGCCAACAGCAAGAGGAAGAAAGAAGAAAGAAGAAGAAGAAGAAAAGAAGAGAAGAAGAGAAGAGAAGAGAAGAGAAGAGAGGAAAAUUAGAGAGCAGAUUCACUUACUUGGAAGGCUAUUGCAGAAUUCAGCAAGGAGGUAGGUACUUCUCCCUUAUAUGAACCUGUAGUAAGAAAAGAAUUCAUAAAUAGAGAAGGGUAGGACUGAAUUCUGUUGUAUGGAAGGAAUUCUGGAAAAAUUCAGUAGAAUCCUCAUCCUAUCAAAUCUGAUUUUUUGAUUUGAAGAAGGGAAUUGGAAAUGUGAAAUAAUUUUGUAAAGGAUGCAUACACCAUGGCCGAUUGGGGUUAGAAUGUGAGAAUUCUCACUUAAGAUCUUAAAACAAUAAAUUACUUAGAGAAGAAAAGAAAUCUCUCUCUGAAUUAUGUUCUCUAAAGACUUUAAUGGUACAUGCAAAGUAAUUGAGGUUCAAUUUCUUACAUGCAAAGUGAAAUUAGAGAUGAAUUUCACACAUGCAACCUUAGAUUUAGGUUUGAUUAUGAAGCUUUUACUCUAAUUCAUACUUGUGAAUGAGAUUAUGGGAAAUGAGGUUUGAUUUUGGAAAUUCCUGCUGAAUUGUAUAAUUAAUCAGAAUUAAUUAAUGGGUUAAUGAUGGGAUUAAUAGAGUGAUGAGAAUUGCUAAACUUGAUCACUGCUAUGAAGAUAUGACGCAGAAAUAGGGGUCUAAUGGCCAAGUAUAUGAGUUAUCAGUAGGGAAGGUUGGCAGAAUUGAAAUUCUGUAAAAAAGGCACGAUCGGUGGGAGACAUCCGGUCGGCCAGUCGGGCCAGGGACUAGUCGGUUAGGCUUCCAAAGACAUUUUUCCCUCAGUUUUUGAUAGUAAAGUGUGUGUCUGAGAG
Molecule: long non-coding RNA, 1370 nt
Organism: Macadamia integrifolia
Lineage: Eukaryota; Viridiplantae; Streptophyta; Magnoliopsida; Proteales; Proteaceae
Exons: 5
Source: RefSeq, a predicted model, not a curated record